UACGUAGGUCCCGAGCGUUGUCCGGAUUUAUUGGGCGUAAAGCGAGCGCAGGCGGUUUAAUAAGUCUGAUGUAAAAGGCAGUGGCUCAACCAUUGUGUGCAUUGGAAACUGUUAGACUUGAGUGCAGUAGAGGAGAGUGGAAUUCCAUGUGUAGCGGUGAAAUGCGUAGAUAUAUGGAGGAACACCGGUGGCGAAAGCGGCUCUCUGGACUGUAACUGACACUGAGGCUCGAAAGCGUGGGUAGCAAACAGG
RNAcentral lists this ribosomal RNA (252 nucleotides) under uncultured microorganism. Its description in RNAcentral is "partial 16S ribosomal RNA". It matches the Rfam family "Bacterial small subunit ribosomal RNA", at positions 524 to 776 of the family's 1533-position model. The record is from RNAcentral.